AGUGAACGCUGGCGGUAGGCCUAACACAUGCAAGUCGAACGGCAGCACAGUAAGAGCUUGCUCUUACGGGUGGCGAGUGGCGGACGGGUGAGGAAUACAUCGGAAUCUACUUUUUCGUGGGGGAUAACGUAGGGAAACUUACGCUAAUACCGCAUACGACCUACGGGUGAAGGCAGGGGAUCUUCGGACCUUGCGCGAUUGAAUGAGCCGAUGUCGGAUUAGCUAGUUGGCGGGGUAAAGGCCCACCAAGGCGACGAUCCGUAGCUGGUGUGAGAGGAUGAUCAGCCACACUGGAACUGAGACACGGUCCAGACUCCUACGGGAGGCAGCAGUGGGGAAUAUUGGACAAUGGGCGCAAGCCUGAUCCAGCCAUACCGCGUGGGUGAAGAAGGCCUUCGGGUUGUAAAGCCCUUUUGUUGGGAAAGAAAAGCAGCAGGUUAAUACCCCGCUGUUCUGACGGUACCCAAAGAAUAAGCACCGGCUAACUUCGUG
This 492-nucleotide ribosomal RNA is filed under the name uncultured bacterium. RNAcentral's name for it is "partial 16S ribosomal RNA". It matches the Rfam family "Bacterial small subunit ribosomal RNA", at positions 29 to 507 of the family's 1533-position model. The record is from RNAcentral.